UAUCGCUAUCGAUAGGCCGGCCACAACAACCAUACUGACAAUGAACAACAAAGCAAAUGCAAAAAUAAAAACAAGAGAACUGGCAGUGGAAAACUGGCCACGCAGCCUUCUUAAGCGCCUAACCAAGGAAAAUGUCCACGACCACAGGAUACAAUUCCGGCAAAAUUGGAAUACUGGACGGAUGUCAUGCCCUGGAGCCUGGCCUGAGUUACGGGUAAAUGAGAGAAGGACAAAUCCCUGAUGAAGGAGUACAAACCAACUAUAAUCAACAUGCCAAAUACAAAUAAGUAGCCAUUUCUAAUUAAACAAAGCCAAACAACUUGGGUAUAAGUUCUUCUAUAAUCCGGAAGCUACUUUCUCCCUUAUUGCGAGAGUGAAGGACAUCCGGUUACACCUACGACCGCAGCAGGACAUUGGACUAAUAUUUGACCCUGAACUGGACGUCGGAUGCCGGAAGGAUAUUUCCCCGGAAAGGAAACAAUUGGAAUCAGUUAGAACAUUUAGUUUUACGUAUUAAUGUUUUUUUCUAUAAUUAAUUGCCAUUUUCAUAUUUAUAACAAGACGCAUUGUUUUAUAUACUUCUCUAACUA
Drosophila suzukii is the source of this 590-nucleotide non-coding RNA. The record is from RefSeq and is a predicted model, not a curated record. NCBI's taxonomy places the organism in Eukaryota, Metazoa, Arthropoda, Insecta, Diptera, Drosophilidae.